AUUCAGGUGGGCCUAGUGGAAUCAGGUGCGUUCCUAAAAGUGAAAGAGGGAAGCAGAGAUGUAGUCCGUCAAAGAUGUGACUGUGGAGGAAAGGCACAAAGAAUGCAACAUUACUGGCUUUAAAGAUGGAAGUGGGGCCGUGAGAUAAGGAAUGCAGGUAGCCUCUUGAAGCUGGAAAAGAAAAUCAUGACUAGCUUCUGGCCAUGACAAAAGUUAUGUCAGCAUCAUUAUGUAACACCUGUGAUCGGUGCAGAAUGGAAGAGGUUUAAGAACCAGAACGGAGUCCUCUAUAUAACUGAAAAGUUUCUCUACAAUGUUAAAUGUGCUGCUCAAUCCCCCGAAGUAAAGUAAAUGGCCUGCAGCGAAGUCUGAGGAAAGCUCUACAACACCAUGAAUAUAGCUCAUGAAAGCUGGCACAGAGGAAUAGUAUACAUAAGUGACCUAAGGAGCAGAACUUUAAAGGAAGUGUUGUAAAAGAAUGGAGGAUCAGGGAGCUGACCCUGUGGCCGAGUGGUUAAGUUCUCCUGCUCCGCUUCAGCUGCCUGGGGUUUCACUGGUUUACAUCAUAGGCCUGGACAUGGCAAUGCUCAUCAGGCCACGCUGAGGCAGCGUUCCCCAUAGCACAACCAGAAGGACCUACAACUAGAAUAUGCAACUAUG
Molecule: long non-coding RNA, 660 nt
Filed under: Equus asinus (donkey)
Lineage: Eukaryota; Metazoa; Chordata; Mammalia; Perissodactyla; Equidae
Description: lncRNA (ENSEASG00005027423.1)
Source: RNAcentral